GACUUACUUGAGACUGACUGUUGAUUCUCUUGGGCGGGGCACUUGGAGCUUUAUAAGGACAUUCCCCACUGCACCUUGCUUAAGAGCCCAUCAUAUUCUUCCCCCAACUCGACUAGAAUUGAAGUUCAUAUGCGCUUGAGCUUGCAGGUGCUGUUGUUUGUUAAGAAGUCAACCACUCAUUGAGGCUUACCCAGCAUAAUAUAAACCAAACGCACGUGUAGCGGUACCCUAACUCCCUGCUCAGCGGCAGAGGCACCAACUAUCCCUAUUGAAAAGAAUGGAAUUGUGUAAAGAACUGUAUGAUAUAAGAAAGAGUCAAAGAACAGCGAAACUCCAAAGCAAAGCUCACUGCUCACUCCAAUAACUUGAAGAAGAACAGAAACUCACUCCCCAGCCUCUAGCGUCGGCAAACUAUCUAACACACAAGAAGCUAACGCGCCUGCAUCCUAAUCUGCACUUCUUUACUUAUUGCUUCAAAAAGCCUCCAACUAAGUCCUUUGCCCUUAAGUAAUUGGUAGCGGCAGCCAAGUCCUUUUAGAGUCCUACGAGUUAUGAGUCCUGUGCCCUUAAGUAAUUGGGUGUAUUACCCAUUUUCUGCAUUAGUAGAAGACUGAGAAUUGAACAAGCCUUUUCCUGUUACUGAGGGUAUGACCCAUUUUCAGCAUACUCCCUAAUUGACUACCCCAGGUCAAUUGUGCUAGUAAAGGAGUGAAAUAAAGUAGAAGAAAGAGAAUCACCAGUUCCUAGGUGUACUCAAUGAAACAAGCAAGGCAAGGUAGCACUCCAAUCUACGAGCUACUGCAAAUAGCAUAGCACUCCUUUGCUUUUGAAUCGAAAUAGUAAGUCUAAGCACCCGAACAAAACUCAACGAAACUUAUCGCUUAAGAUCCGCCAAACUCACUCACUAACGUACAAGUAUGAGUAAGCGUCCUGAACAACAAUAAGCUUAGCGCAACGCCUUGCUGAUUGUGAGUCUCAUGCACCCAAAAUUCUAUAAGAGCAUAACUUGGCUAUAAGAGCAUAACUUGGAGACCCAAUAAUAGACUAUUUUGCUUUACGAGGUUCUUUCCUUCUUUCUGGUGUUCCUUGAGACUCAACCUACGCAGGAACAAGUCAUCAAGUGAAAGGACUGGGAACAAGCAACUACUUAGAAAGUGACCUAUUCUUCGCUAUUAGUGAUACUAUUAGUUAUACUAUAUUCUGGAAUUACCUACUAUGCAACUAAACUCGCAUUGCCAAGUCCUGUGUUCAUAGCCGUAGUAAACAAAUUCCAUCAUUCUUUAUAUUGCUCUUGUCGUCUUGGCUGUUGGCUCGGUGCUAAUGGAAGUUUACAAUUAAGUCUACGAUGGAAGUUUCGUUGGGCUUUUCUCUAUCCUAUUAAGAAUCAGAGGUGUUGCAGUUCAGUUGCUUGGCAGGAGUUAGUUCGGCAAGUAAUAGGUAUAUCAGCAGAGUUAGCAUCAGUGUAAUCUUGUCUAGUAUAUGCUUGGUUGACGACAGUUUAUCCACUACAAACAAGAGAAAGCUUUCAAAUAGGCCAUUCUAUUUUCAAAGUCAAGAUGAUAGGCGUAAAGCUGUUAGUUACGAAGCGGGAAUAUCCGUUUUCUCAGAAGCGGGAAGUGGUGUUUCAAAGGGGAGUUCGACUCAAAUCCAACAAGCAGACUAGAAAGAAUGCAAUGACAACUGGAAUGGAUAGAAUUGAACCAGUACUAGUUAAGAUCGAAUCACUGUUGACAAGAACGGAACAGACAAAAGAAAGACUAAAAGUACCCAUCCACAGAGUAGAAUUAUGGUAGCGAGGCUUUACUACUAUUUAGAAGAAUGAGUUGAUGCAUCAGUGAACUAAACUAGAAACUAUAGUACCCGACCCACACCUAAAUUAUGAAAAACCCCAAGCCCCGACUUGUAGCUCAAGCACCGACUUAUAGCUAUAGUACCUCACUCCUAUUAUGAUUUAUUUGAAACGGAUCUAGUCUAUGAGUUAGAGUAUCCCUUUCCCUACUUAGACUCUUUAACUGCUGAACAUGGAUCUGACUCCCCGCUCUCAACACCUUACUAGUUACUGGCAUCCUCGCUUCUUGGCUUGUAAGUCUACUUCUACUUUCUGCAAAUCUUAUAUUCCUAUCUUUUUCUAUUUUUCUUGUUUUUACUUACUUCUAUUCUGUUAUUUGUUAUUUCCUAACUAUACCUUGAACAUUGGAUGAAACUAGAGCACCCAACUAUUAACUAUAGCACCGAACUAUUACUUGCAUUAUUACUGAUUCUAGAAAACAUAUAUCUUGACUCUAACCUGGCAUACACGCCUUAGCCCUCUAGAAAACCUAGUGAUAUUGAACUCAAUUCUGAACAUUCAUAUAUAAUAAACACGGAUUUGGAUCCUGACUUGAAAACGGAAACAGGAACAGCGGAUUCUUCCACGAAUACUUAGAGGAAACAGAGGAAACCCAUACUCAACAACGGAGCAACUUGAUCCAGCGUGAAGUGAGAAACAUCUAGUUGUUUACUUAAUGUCAUUGUGAGAUCAGUAGUGCAUCGAUCGCAGACGAAGGCACGGGCGCAACAGUAGAGCUGUGUAGGGAAACUCGUUCUGAAAGUGGUGUCGCGCAUUCCACCACCCAUUGGCGAAACAACGGGCGACCCGGGCUAUUAUAGCUCAUUCAUAGCAUCGGGCGACUGAACCACACCGGCACAAACAUCAUAGAUAAAAGAAAGAAUAACAAAAGCAGUUUUGUGCUAAAAAAGAGAGAAAAGAAGAGCUGUUUUUCGACUAAAAGAGUGUAGUGGUAGCGAGUUCAUCAGCACAGCACUAGUUGCCUAUGUAGUUGCUAAGGUUCACUUGGCCUGUUCCACUAAAGGGAUAAGAGAGAUUGAUUCAUUUACUGUUUUCCUCUGCGCUAACGGGAGCAGCAAGUGUAGUUCCUGUGUUACCGACGAAAGAAAAGAAAGAUUCUCAGAAGGAGUAUGAGCUGGAUCAUCAGCAGGAGUAGAUAAAUAGUCAAGAAAGUGAGUAGCAGAAUGUCCAAUUCCUGUUAGUUAUGUUGCUUAUUCGUUUCGCAUACUUGUUUCUCUGGCUUGUUCCUUCACUCUCCUUUCUUGGCACUUAACUCAUUAGUGAAACUCAUUAGUGAAGUUGUCAAUUCCAUUAUUUUAGUCAGAAACUCCAUUCUACCAGUCCUUUCACCUGGCCUACCAGUCCUUGAGCUUAACCCUGCCCCCUUAUAGUCAAGAAUUUCAUUGAACCUAUGGAGCACCCGGCUGAUGCUCUUUAUUAUGAUGGAUCUUCCGCUUGGGCCUCCGAUUCCUUACCCGCUCUUGAAACAACUUCUUUAUAAGAUGAUGAAACUGGGUAAGGGACUGCCGCGUAACUGACGUAGUUACUUGGCCGGGUCGGUAUUCCACUCAUUCUACUAGUCGUUGCUUGGCCCUUUGUAGCAGUAGCUUGGCCCUCUUUUCUUCUUCUUUAUUUGCCUCUAUUUUCUUACCAUAGAUGACAUAAAACUCUUUGUGGCUUACUUGGAACUCAAUUCUAUUAUAGAUAGACAGCAGCCGCCCACUACCCUUAUUUCUUCUCUUCUGAUUCCUACCCUUAUUUCUUCUCUUCUGAUUCUCUAUUCUCUGACUUGAUUCUUAUUGGAUUUUCUAUUCUCUGAUAAGUGCUUCCUGUAUCCGCUGGUAAGGAGCAGCUUUCCUAGAAAGAGUCCCGAAGUGCUUAUUCCUGGAAACGUCUAGCCGUUUAUCUAUGUAGUAAAGAAUACUUUUGGAUUUCAUAUCAAAUAGUCUCUUAGAAAACCAACUCCCUUUCCACUCUCUGAACUUUGACUUGCCAUGUCCUUCCUUAUAAUAGAACUGUCCUCUUUUCUUGGGGAAGUGCUGUAUCUGCCAGAAAGCUGCCAUCUUGUCUGAUGUCCUCUUGUUCUUUUCCAAGGAUUGCUUCGAAGGUGGGAGCCGGCUACUGGAUCUUUUAGUGUAGUUAGUAGUCGCCCUUCCCUCGAUUCAUAGACCAUGUCACCCAACUCCAAUUAUCCAAGAAGUGAUUUCGGUUAAAACGCCAUGCGACUUUGAGUAUAUAUGGAUCUUAUUUGAUUCGAAUGGAAAGACGGAGACCAAACCAAAACUCGUAAUAGAACCGGGAGCUUGAAUAAGAGCUCCUCAUAGUGGUAAGAACCUUUUACUAGGAUUGAUUCGGAUCCCGAGGGGCCUCUACAGGCGAAAGCAAAUAGUGAAGUAUAACCUGAUGCUCCGAUCGAAAACGAAUCCGUGGGGCCAUGCCGGGACGACGUCUGGGAUAUUAGUCUUUUGCCUCUUUCUCUUUCUGUCUCUGUUUCUGGUUGGAUUGAUGAGAAAAUAGAAUCCUGGGCCAACUCGAUCCCGAGGAAUGUUACCCUUUGAGCGGGUUCUUUCUGCUGAUCUUUCCUCCGUCGAUAAAAGAUCUUCUGAUAAGACUGACCCCGCAAACUUGUAAUUGAACCACUGAUCUCACAUCUGUAUUUGCUAUCACAUCUGUAUUUGCCCCCGGCACUACUGUUUUGAAUUGGACCCUUGCUCGCCUGUUAAAGAAACCAACUACUGCGGAUGAGACUGCUACAAUUACCUAUUGGUCUAUACCCUGGCUUACUGAAAUUCCUAAACUAUUGACUUGCAACCUAGCUUCUUAGCUGAGUGCGCUAACAUUCCUUUAUCUUAGCCCCAACCAAAAGGGAGUCUGGUAUAAGUAUGAGUUUUCAACGGGAGAGCUCCAAACAAGGAUCGGUAGACUUCACCUAGCAAGCGAGGAUCUUGUUAAAGUCCCUAUUCCGAGUCCAAUUAAGAUUAGGUUCUGUGCUCUUGUUUCAGCAUUGUCAGCAUAGGUGUAUUCUCUAUCCUCUAUUAGUGUUGUUAGUGGAAUACCGGUAGUACUAGCUUACUUCUAGUAGUUGUAGCCAGAGGUAUAGUAGCAAGAGUUAUAUGAGCCAGAGUCGAGGGAGAUAAGAAAGCAGCUUGUUUAGAUGAGCCAUAGGUAUAGGAUUUCAGAGUUUAGGGAUGUAGGAAGAGAGGUAUACCUCAUGAAGUUACUAGUUGCCAGCUGCUUGGCUUGUGGAAUUCCUAUACAAAGAAAGAAACUACUAGCUUGCCCUGUUCGUCAACUCCAAAGUGAGAAUGAAACCAGUGAGUCAAAGAAUGAAGCGAAGCAAGGAGGAAUUAGAUCCAGCAGUUCAAGAUGUUAGGAAGAAAUGACUUAUAAGGACAGUUUCUUAGGUUUAAUGGGAAAUCCAAUUCAAAACGGGGCACAGAUGAGCGGCCCUUAAGUUCCUAUAGCUCACGCGCCUAACUAGGCUUGGUCAUUAGUAGUUGCUUGGCCAUUUGUACUACAGGGCACAGGAAUACUUGUUUAGUCGUAGCUUGGCGGGAGUCCACGGAAACAGCUUCCUUACCUGCGCCAACUCAGGAUCUAGAUCUUUUCCACUCACUCGCUUCCCGCUUCUAAGCCCUUACGUGCACAGCCUCUGAUCCUUAUCCUUACUUUUCAUCAUCUACUAUUGGCUCUUCAUCACUUCUUAUUGCUGGCUCUUAAGCUCUUCUUAUUGCUGGCUCUUAAGCUCUUCUUAUUGCUUACCUUGGACAUAUCGUAUCGUCCGAAUUCUUUCAAUCCUACCCGGACAAGGAAGGAAUAAAGGCAAGGAGCUGAGAGCCUUUCAUGAAAAACAAGACCUUACCAGCUUGACCUAAUAGAGCGGGCAACUCGCUAGCUUCUUUUCUUGCGGAAUUUCUUAGUAACUGAAUUCGAAAGUGCAUCUCUGAAUCUUCCUAGCAUACCAAAAUGAACCGAAAGGAAAUCCGCUAUUGAACAACAUAUUCCGGCCGGCCCUCGUAGCUCUCUCUUUCUCUGUAGCAAUAUGGAUUAUGCCCUUCGUCUCAUAUAUUCUUUUUUAUGAAUAGAAGGAGAUUGUGAAUCAGUUGAAUUAGGUUUCGUAAAGUCAAGAUUGACCUUCUUUUUGAUACAGAAGAAGCUGUGAUCACUAUACUACAUUCUGGUUCUAGACCAAUAGAAUCAAAGAAACUGCUCUUUUUCACGCUACUUCGCAGCUAAUUCAUUCAUCCACAUCUGUAUCGCCUGCGAAUCCUUUUUCCAGCAAAGAGAAACACUUCUAGGCAUCAAUGCUAUAACUCCUGGCAAGAUCCGAGACGAUUCCAUUGACUUCAUUCUAACAGACUAUUUUGGGCAUAUCGCUCUACUGGACUUCUUCUUCCUAAGAUCAGUAGGCUUUACAAGGAUGCUCGUUUUUCUACAUGGGAGUACAUCCAAUAGGAAGCUUACACACACAUAGACUAGCCACACAACUAAACACAACAUUACAAAGUGAACUAACAACAUCUUAAGUUAACAAAAGACAUAGAACAUCAUGAAACAUAAGAAAGAAAAGCCAUGCAUUAAAACACACUACUUUGCUAAGACGGAAUACUUAUGGAAAUCUUAUGGAAAGAGUCGACGGACUGACUCUUCUAGUCUCCCUAGUGGAUCGGUGACCUAGGGUGACAGCCCGCACAAUGAGCGCUUGCUGUUCUGUAUUUGGUUUUGUAGAGAUAAAGCGCAUAUAAUCUUAUAUGAGAAUUCUCUCUAUAGCUGGGAAAUGUUCCCAGACCCAGCCUUUGCUCGCAUUUGAGCUUAUCGUUUUAUACCUUACUGAUUGAUUGCUCAAGGCUUUCCCGUCAGUUCGAGAUAUCCAUGUCUACUCAGACCCUAACUCUUGCUUUCCUCGCCUGAAGUCUUUAUCUCACCCUAACUCUUGCUUUCCUCGCCUGAAGUCUUUAUAUCUUUGCCUUGAGUCUACCGCGGCUAACUCGAAUACUGUUACAGCUGUCAGUAAGUCUGCCACUGCUGUCCCUAUUUCUUUAGCUACUGCCAAUAAUCAAAGAACUACUCAUUUUCAUGCUUUAUCCUAUGAUAGGGAAUCGAGCUGAGUAGACCAAGGCGGAAUAAGCCCACAAAGCUACUUAGGGUAAUCCAACUAAAUAUGUAUUUCCACCUAUUAUUUUCUAUGACUUGCUUUGAGUCUACCGAUACUAACCAGCAACCCUUACUGGCCUAUAAGCCCGCCCUUGCUUGAAACCUAUGCCCACCGAUCCUAAUUCCUAUUCUCUUGUGUUAGCCCGCUACUCCUUGAUCGAAAUCUGAUUUGACUGACCUUAAAGCUGUCUUUACUUCUUUUCAUUAUGAAAUUAGGUAGUUAGUGUUCUUCUAAGAAUGCAACCAUAAUGCAACCAUUAAUGAACUUCUCUUAUAUUAACAGUCGUUUUUCGAGUCUCCUUACUUCAUUUCAGUCGUUUUCAUAGUCUCCUUACUUAUUUAGUAGAAUACCUCAAUAUUGCACUACAGAAUUGACACCACAGCCAACAAUAUGGAACUAGUACCGGGAAGAAUCUAACCCGGGGCUAAGAGACUUUAACAACUACCUAGAAGACUUGACACAGCUUACUGGGAAUUCACUAUAACCUGAGAAUACUUUUACUUGGAAACUUUGAACUCGGGCUGAAACACUGACAUAUAGGAUCAUACUUGCAUCCCGUCUUCUAGCCUUACAUUACUUAUCUCGUUCUUUAACAGCUUACCUGGCAUUUCCGAUCUCAAAACUCCUUAGCUCUUGGUUGAGUAUGCCAAUCCCGGAAUUCUGAAACUAGUAAUAGCAAGACCUAUACAGCUACUUAUCAUAUAGAUACUCAAAACAAAGAAACCAACUACCACUUGAAAACUAGAAACUUGGAAUACGAACACCGGGGCAGCUAGCCUUAUUUGACUAUCCUCUGAGCCUUGCCUUAUUGUAUAUAAGAGUAGAGCUGGGGCUAAAAAGACCUUCCCUAACUGCGGAAUAGGAAGAACACCAAUACUACUAAGAAUAGAAUCUGGUCCCUUAGCUCGUUGUUGGCAUGCAAGAACCGAACCCAUGCAAAUAAUAAUUGAAACCCGUGCUCAUAAUAAUGGAAAUAGGAACAAGGACAAAAGGGAUACAAGCGCUGAUAACAAGGCUUUUUCACUAUUUCAAAGAGUGUAGCGGUAUUCCAAUAAACUAACCAUCUUGACUACCCCUACGCGCUUUAAGUCUCCUAUUACCUCCUUCUUCCCUGGCUAUUGGUAUUACUGCCCUAACUUCCUGUUUGGUAUUUGUCCCUGGCAGCCUUGCUUUUGGCCUGUAACUAACUUAUACCAUUAGUAAACUACAUUACUUUAAGUCUAUAACUAACUAACUCAACCGUAACUACUACUUACUAGGACCGAUUGCUAGCCUAUCUUUGCUUUCUCCUAAACUUAUACUGCUAUCGAUAAGAAUUUGAACUAGCGCACUAAGAGUGGAGAGAGACGCGCCCAAACAUAUAAGCAUUGAUUGAGACAACAGGUGAUCUAACUAUUACUACUAGCGGAAUGAAACAAAGAGGUAAGAUUGACUACCUACCUUAUAAGACUUAACUGCGCGUGUGAGGUCCGGAACUCCACUCCAUUCUACUAUAGAACCAACGUUAGCCGAAAACCGCAAGCAUUAUAUAGCAUCAACAGCUUUCAGGAACGAGCUCCUUUACCACACUCAGUAGACUCGGGAUCAUGUUGGGCACCUUCUCGGAUGUCGCCCUUGGAACUUACAGAACCAAGAUUUCUCAAUUCUAUCAAUACCAUCAACAAGCAAGUGAUAGAGAGAUGAGUCAGGAAGCUAUGCUCUGUAACAUUCAAUACCAUAAAAAAGCAAGUGCAAGAUAGAUGAGUUUAGAAGCCAAAGGGAAGCAGUGUGUUUCCUUUCUUAUAUGAGUGAGAUGCCCAUUAGUCCAAAAUCCAUUACUGAGUAUGGGGGGCGCUAACAUAGUUUUACGGAAGGGAUACAGUGCAGAGUAUAGAACAAGUCAUUAUGGAAUCUUAGGAGUAACUCGUUAAUGGGAGCUCUGCGCUCGCAAGUCCUGUUGCUUGUGUCCAAGGGUUUUCUAUCAACCAGUUUAGCCUUAGCGAGUUUAGCAUAAUAUAAGUCAGAGAAAUUCAUUAUUGGAAGUAUUUGUAGCUUCAGCGUUAGCGUUAAGUAUUUCCAGUUUUCAGUGAGUUUACAACCGAGUCUAGUAUCCUUGGCAAAGAUGCAUCUAAAGGACAUAGGCAUUAGGCACCCGCCCCGAACUCUAUUACAAGGGAAAGGAAAGGCAGACAAGCAACUACGAAUUGAGUAAAGACACAGUCGUUCUUUUUCCUCAGUUAGGUCUUCCCCUUGUUUCUAUCCUUAAUAAUAGUGGAAUCCAUAACACUUACGCUGCUUCUUGUUGAAAGGUAGUCCAAUUCCGAUUCUUUAGAGGCAGACUCAGAACUCGGCCGCUAACACUUCUUGUUGUUGUUGCGGGAUAAGGUUAGGCAGAUAAGAAUAAGAGGGAAGAGGCGGGGUGUAAUAGAAUAAGUCACUAACCACUCCUGGGACGGAUGCGGAUUCUAGACUUGUAAUAACCAUGCGCUUGUUGCUAACGCCAUAAAGACAGGACUCGUGGAGCCUAUAAUACCGACAGACACAUUAUUCUUUUGUGCCUCUUCUUGCCUAGUAGACCCCUUACCCUCGCUGAUCACUUAGUCUUGGUGGAGUCCCGAGUCAACCCUUGACUUAUUAGUAGAAUUCUGACGAUCACCUAAAUUCUUAAAGGAAAGGAAGGAGUCACUAACUUGUCUAUAAGGGCAAGCCGACAAGCUACUCUGUUACUUACUUGUUCCAUUCUGAUAUCUCUAUCUCUAUAUGCCCUAUUGUGGUAAGUAAACUAUAUGUAUUAUGACCCUAGUUGUUUUCUUAUCGGCUUCGGCGGAUUCUCUUGUGAAACAGCUGAUUCCCUUUCGGAUUCCCCUUGAAAACAGUACUUGAAGACAACAAUAAGCACUUACCGGUGAAGAAAGAUAUUAUCACUGCAAAAGCUAAUGCUGCCCUUAAGUAAUUGGUCGCUACUUACUACUAAGCUUUCCCCGAGUAUCAAUGAGUGUUUCCCCAUAAGAAAGAGGAGUUGACCCGAGUUAGAGAUUGUGCCCUUUUUACUGGGAAAGAAGCCUUAUUGAAGCGCGUAAGCUUAAAUGACUAUAGUUAGUGGCGGGCGUGAGCUUUGAAAAGAAGAUAUGGUUCCACCUUUCUGAAUAUAGAACUUUCAUAUAGAACAAAUUAUUGUGUAAGUAUAGCAAAGGUGCGUGCUCGGCUUUCCCUUGUAGUGGUCCAAGCAUCAAAGUGAAGUGAGGAUGCGGUCGCUCUUUCUGUCGUAUAACAAAGAAUGCGACGCCCACUAUGCGCUUAAGGGCAUAAGAUAGUCAAGGCAAGUAAGCUAUAAGUCCUUCUUGUAUUUCUGCAGUAUAAUCAUAUAAGGGAGUUUAGUAUAGAAUUAAGUAAUAUUCCUAGUCAUAAGUUCGAGUUGACGACUUGUUCUUUCUGGAAACUCGUAUUCCGUACUUACCUUACCAUCACCAACAAACACUAGUCCUGCAACAGAUCCGUCACCUGAUCAGAAAACAAACUUAGUAUGAUCUUUAUCUUGUUUCUGCGCCCCAACUUCUUAUCCUUAUUUUGAUUCCUCGACCCGACCUCUCUAUACUGGAGGAAUUGUUUGCUCACUGGCUUUUAACAACACCGCUACUAGUUGGGGAUUCUGAAAGAUCUGAUAUCGUAGCCAACACAGAGGAAACUCGAACAGCUUCUAUAUACGCCAACUAAGGUAAAGUUCACAAAAAAGAAUAGCAUACGCCCUAACUAAGGUAAAGUUCCAAAAAAGAAGAGUUGCUGGGCUGGGCGCUAUCACUACAAAGGAAAGUGCCAAUCAAUCACCUAAACCUACUCUCCACUUAGUACGAGCACCCAAAGCAAAGAGACGAAUAUGAAAUGGGGGGAUGCAGAACGAGUAUGAAGUACAGAGCAGAUGCGCGAUUCCCUUGCUGGUUCCUAAGCUAGUUUCCUAGGCCUAUCAAAAUCAAGGUUAGGUGAAGACAUAAAGGGCGAGAUGAGAUCUACUAGAAACUUUUGCUUGAUACAACACCGAGAUACAGAUAUGAUUCUGCAAGAAAAGAACUACAUGAAACCCACUCAUCGGCUCUUUUAAUGCAUUUUUCCGAACAUAUUUAUGUGCUCCAGAGUUGUAAGUGCGUAUAAGAGUUGUAAGUGCGUAUAUAAGUCUGGACUUGAAUGACCAAGCAGACGCCAAGUCACUACUAGACGCCAGACAAGGAACUACUAACCGCCUUUUCCCUCGGUUCACGACCUGAGUGGACAAAGAAGACCAUUGAUUGACUAUUGUUUAUCGAGAAAGAAAUGUAUGCACGCUGAGAUCCCCGUAAGCUUGUGAAGCACUGAAUGAUACUCUUAGUUAGAUGGAAUUUCAUCCACUCGAGGGGGAUAAUUUCAUUGUAUACAAUAAGCUUGAUGCCUGAGAAAUAGCAAGGAGCUAGUCCUUUUGGCUAUGCCUUUUUCUUUCUUCGUCCAGAAGUUCCUGGUUUUGCAAAGCCUGCUGUCAUUUGAGCUGCUCCUACGCCCUAAGUCAAAGAAAAGAGAGAGGAGAGAGAGGUACCGACGCAAGACGGGCAGACCUCAAAGGAUCCUCCAGAGGGAACAGAAUUGUUUCAUAGAAGAUACUUACUGACAUCUCAAGGAAUGAAUGGAAGAGAGCUGCGGUAGGAAUGAAUGGAAGAGAGUAAGGUGGCAUGUGGGAAGAGAGUAAGGUGGCAUGUGUUGUUAAUCCAUUUUGGCAGGAUGUAUAUUAGAAUGAAAUGCAGUUUAGAGUUAGCUGUUAACAAUCAGAUCUUAUAGGCGCUAAGAGAAGAGAGAGAAAAAGCAACGAAAAAGAGAAUGAAAGUAUAGCGUUAGUGAGUGGAGCCUAAGGAACUAUACGACAACGACAAUAAGAAUGAGACUCGGUAACAAAGCUAAACAAGCACCUCGAAACAAUAAGAGGAGAUUCGGUAACAAAGCGAAACUCAAAGAACUCCGCGAAACUAGAAGAAUUAGAUUCGGUAACAAAGCGAAACUCAAAGAACUCCGAAACUAGAAGUUGAUACAUGCGCGCCCUUACCCCGGAGAGUAAUAUGUGAAUAAGCAGGUUGUUUAUACAAUUCGAUAACAGGUGCAUUCAAUUCAAGUUGACAGAGCACUCGCCUGUCCUUUGUUGCGCUCCAAGUUAAGUCUAAAGUAGAGUUGCCUGUUGCAAGAGAAGUCAGAGAGUCGCCUGUUGCAAGAGAAGUAAGAAGUAGAGUAUAAAGUAUGGUUUUUCAACCUCUUGUUAGUGCUGGAUAAGUCUCGUAUUAAGUAUGGUUUUUCAACCUCUUGUUAAUGCAAGAGAUAUGGAGUAUAAAGUGGAGUAGCCUCUGGAGUAAGUAAUAGAAAGGGUGCCUCAUCAAUUCAAUGGUUAGGGAAAGGAAGAACUUAGUUUUGAAGCAAAAGGGCAUUGAACUCGCUAACGCUAAAAACAGGAUUGGAUUCUUCCCUUCUGCCCUGAACCAACAAGCAAGUAAGUCAACCACAAUAACUAGUAUGUAAACCAGCCUAUCUCUUAACUAGGCAAAACUACACCCCUCAACUUACAAAUAAGGGCACAAGAACAGAAAUGGAGCCAAACAUCUUUAACAAGAACAUCUGGAUCUGCCCUUGACUAUUAUAAUUGGGAAAGUGAACUACUCUUAAAGUCGAGCCUCUCUCUACUCUGGCAACAAUGCAUUUCACCCUGCUUGCGUCUACUGAUCUGGUUGACUUCACUCUAACUGCUGCUGACAGUAGUCUCCACUCAAUGUAACAACUGCCAAUUAAGUACUAUGGCCCAAUUCUAUGAUACCCUCGGGCUCUCAUUAAACUCUGGCAACAAAAACUAUGUCUCUCAAAAUGAAAUGAAAUCAUGCUUUCUUGCUCUAGCAGGGUUUCUUGCUCUAGCCCUUCAUUCCUAUACCAGUAGCUUGCCCCCUUGUUUCAUCUUAUUCUUCUAAAGAUAAAGAAGUUGUUUCAAGAGCAGGUGAGGAAAGGAGAGUUCUGGUUUUGUCUCCGAGAUCAUCAGCAGUAUCAAGUUGAGUUCUUGUAGAGGUGGUAAAAAGGAAUCAGAAUAAUCUUAAGAAUCAGAAGAAGCUAUUCGAAAGGAAGCAGCAAGUAGAGAGUCAGAAAAACUUAGAAGCGAUAUGUGCACUUCCACCAGCGCAGGAGCAAGCCAAUCACCUUAACCUGACCUUCGAACUAAUCCGGAUCUAUCUUAUAAUCUAGAACUACACUUUCCUUCUUAACCGAAAGAUGAAACUACAACCGACCCCGACUCUCAUUGCAAAGCAUCUUAGUCUGCUGGAACUUGGGAACUUGCUUCAAAACUCACUCCUAGCACCCAGAAACUAGAAAGUCAGAAAAGAAUGCAACUGUUAACUUACAUAGAAGAGAGUAACCAACUAGAGCAUGAAAGUAGACAAGCAACAGUACUAGAGCAACAAACCCAGGGAUCGGAGCGCCUUCGCCCCGCAUCUAAGAGAGAAGUUGACUUAACGCCCAAACUCACGUAUCAAAUGAAAUGAGAAUAACUAUUGUACUUUUUAGAUAAAAAGAGAAUAACGAGAGCUGCUUUUGGCUCUAAUUACACUAAGCAAAAAAUCAGUGGAAUUACUAUAAUCAAACUACUGGCUCUGCUCUAACUGCUGACCUUGCCUCUCGCUUCCCUUUCUUCUUAUUAAGUACACUGCUUCCCUUGAUGGACGCACACAGGACGUUGUUCACUACUACUGCCCAUUCGGUUCCUAUAACUUCAUUCUUAAACCACAUAGCAAGUAGGCUAGCCACUACUGAAAAGCAGAAUUGCAUCGGUUUCAAGAUCUGACUUAGUUUCAAGAGCAGAUAGAUGCCGAAGCGGGAAUAUCCGUUUUCUCAGAAGCAACAACUGGUGGAUCUGGCCCAGCUAUAACAGCUUACCUUUGACUUGCCCCAACACAUUCCCCAUCUUGCUCUGCCCCCCCCAACGAAAGGCUGUUGAAAUUCAUUCAUUAUUAAUAACAUUUUCUUUGACCGGGAUGCACUAUCUUAAACAAGCAAGCAAAGAAUAUCCUUCCCAUCUUGCUACCAAUAUAGGUGCGGAAACUUCACUGCUUACGGAAACUCACGUUAGAGCACUUGUUCGAACUUAACUUUAAGCGCGUCACUAAUGGAAUUCGCUAACGCCGAAAACGGUUAACUUGCUUAUUUAUUACUGUUACUAAUGCCGACUCAGAUAGGAAUUCGACUAACUUGCUUGCUGAACUCACCAACUAGAAAUAUUUCCAGCGCCGAGGAAAACUAAGCUCAGAAUUAAUUGAACAUUGAUUACUGAUGUGCAUAUAAUAGAUGAAUGUCAUAAAGCUGCUCAUCUCGCAGAUAAUAGAUAUGAAUGUUACAGCUGCAUUGCUUCCUUUCCUUUUUUUAGCACCCCGAGAAUCAUCCAACGCACCAUUCACUAACGCCAGGUUGCUUCUCUUGGCGCCGCUCCAUGCUUUCCCUUAACCUUUUCAUGUUCAAUAUUACUGGGAAAUCCAAAGUAUUAGUAUUUGGGGAUCUAUUUUCUUAUUGUUUCAGGAGCACAAGCAACGUUGUUCCUAAGUGCUUGUUGAGUUCUUUAGUUCGCUAACGCUAUUCAUUGUUUCAGGGGCGAUAUAACUAUUUAUUGUGUUUCAGGGUGCUGAUCUGAUAUGAUUAACUUAAAUGCUCUCUUUUGAAAAUCCAUAAAUGUAUUUGGAUUCUAUUAGUGUAGUUGUUAGUCUCAACAAUUCUUUUCUUUUGAGUAGAGGAGAGAGAGCGGCUUAUUAGUUAGUGGUGAUUUGAAGUUUCGUAGUGUUGUUACUUUCAUUAUAUCACAUAGGCCAGAUAGGCUCAAAAGAGAGGUUUUCCCUAGUUCAACAAGUCAACUGUGAGUAAGCUGUGUUGUUAUUGAAUUCUAUCAUAUGCCAAAGAUAGGCUAAAGAAAGAGGCAUGUAUGCUUUCUUCCCCUAAUGCCAGAUAACAAAGAGGUUUUCCCUAGUUACGAAGAUAGCUCCAUUCUAUUAAUUAAAGCAAGGGAACCAUCAAGACGUUCUUCAAGUUUUGUUUAAGUGCUCUAGUAUUAGUAUAGUGAACUUUGGAACUCACUACAACUGUUGCUACUAGAUUAUUGCCCCAACUCAACCAACUUUCUUUCAACCUACCUAAGAGCUGACAGUUUCGAUUCUUGCGCCGAGCUAUCAUAGCAUAUAAGAUCUUAUUCAUAUUAAAAGUAUCUGAAAAACCCCUAUAGAUAUAUUAUUAGCUUUUGCCGACCCCUUCUGGAAGUGAGGAACCUUGUUUGUUUGGCACUGCGGAUUCAGCCAUACUUUCCCCUUUACUAGUUUGAUUACGGACUUCUUCUUCCCAACAUAGCUAGUUAUUAGUAAGUGUCGCUACACCUUUUCUAGUUCGGGGGCUUAAUGAUGGAUUUGCCAUAAGAGUCAUAUUGAACAUAGGCAUACGGGUUUAAGCGAUGCAAAAAGGCAACUAUCGGGAGGGGGUGCUUGAACGCCGUUACCUCCAACACUUGCUCACUCUGUUACUCCUUACUAAACCACUCCAGUUAGCACCGAACUUAUCUAAUGACCCUAAAUUCUAUACUCAAUCAACUUGUUCUGCUUUUGUCGUCGCUUGCUGCUUCCUUUCGAACUCUACAAACUCAGACUUGUUCCAUUGCUUCCUCACUCCUAACUCUAAACGGGAAUCUAUCAGCUAGGCAACCCCUAUCCCUAUUUCAAAGAACAUGCGAUUUGUGCACCGCUAUCCAUCCCCACUUAAGAACUCAGCUCAGCUAGGCACCGCUAUCCAUAACAAACUUAAUGAAAACUGUUCAAUUCCAAAUAACAACUAUCCAUAACUAACAACACUGUGAAACUACAAUUCACCACUAAUGAACUCCGAACCAUAAGCCUUUGUUAGCGCCAUGGCCCUGAGACGAGACUGACUCCUUAUUUGAAACAACGAUCAGCAACCGGCAGUGCUGUAAUGUAAAGUAAAGGAUAGGACUAACCAAUGGACAACAUCCUAUUUUGGAACAUCUUGAAGCUAAUUUCUAACACGAGUUUUGUUUUGUUUAUAAAGCCUAAGUCAGCAGGGCAGUAAGCAGUUUCGUUUUGUUGGAUGGAGCAUAGAGAGCAAGUAAUGGCGAAAGCCUAAGUAAGUGCUUAGGGGAGUGAAGUUACUACAGUCAGGUUACUCCUCUGCCUAAGGGCUAAUGCGAGUUACUACAGUCAGGUUACUAUCCUUUUUCUACAAAUAAGUUAUGUGCACUAGAUUCAACAAGCGAAUUCUACAGUUAUAUGCUCUUAUAGAGAGAUAGAAUAGAUGAUUAAUAUGACCCUAACAGUUGUUGCAAGAGAAGCUGUAUCCGGUUUAGUAGAAAGUAUUGUAUCGGGGGCAAGCUACGUAUAGACUGAACCCUGACUUAAGGCAGAAGCGGAAGAACCACUUACUGCUUAUUGAAGUGAAAGAACCACUAGAAUCAUUAAGUCCAAUAGCAUCAACUAAGGACUCAACAAUAGCUCCGUAAGCGCCAAGCACCAUUUCAUUCGAAUAAGUAAAGACUCUCGUAGCUCUGGAGACAAUAUAGCCUUCCAGUGACGGAGCAAGCAAUCCGAUAAGAUAAGGAAGGGAUAAGGCAACAAGCAACGUGAAACUCGGCUGAAACUGCAAGUCAAACAAACAGAAUUGCAUUUCAUGUUGACCCGCUUGUAGCUUACUUUGGCACCUCUGAUUCUUGAGUGAACUUUCCUGCCUCAGAUCCAUACUGGGAAUCUAUUUCUGAUUCUCGAAUUACUUAUGUUAUUGCAGCUGACUUACUUGCGCACUAAACAUCACUUUAGGAACCUGAACCACUACUUUAAGCGUUGUACCCGGCUUCCUUACCUGCUCUUAAAACUUCCACUAAUGAUUCAUUCCCAUCGCCAAUACUAAGGGGCUGGAAACCAAACUAGUAACUACUAAACUAGCAACUACUUAAGACUUUACCACAAGACAUAAUUGACUACUUGCUGAAUGAGGCUCAUCUAACUCAGGAGUCAAAGAAAGGCCAAGCAAAGGCGCGCCAAGCAACGACUAACUCUUUCACUCCUUUACUAAUUUACUUACCUCAAAACAGCUAAUGAAUUAAGUCUGACUCUUAUCCUUCUUUCUCUUACUCUUAUCCUUCUCCAGCUUCUAAGUAAUACUCUUAUCCUUCUCAUCCUUCUGAUGAUACUUAUCCAGUUUGCUUCUUCAAUGGGCACCGAGUCUGGGCCAGAUCUAGCUUAUGAUCUUUAUUCAGCUGAUUACUUUAUAACAGGCAAUUAUCCAAGUUCACCUUCCGGAAAAGAAUUCAUUGAUUAUUGAGCACCGGGCUCCUGCCGUUUUGAACUAUCUACCGCCGAACACAGGACUUUACAUAACAUGCCGCAAGCUAUUACCAUCGCUCGAAAUUAGGACUCCAUAACUGAACCUCUAUCGUCACCAACACAGGCACCCGCCAAUACUAGGCUAAACGGGACCCAUACGAGGCACCCCAGUGGACGCAACUUAGUAUUCAACCACAGGCGCUCCCCCAAUAGGCACAACUCAGUACUUAAUGUUGCUUCUCUCUUGAUAGUCUUCAUCCCUUAGUUUCAUCCGUUCUCCUAUAAUAUAAUAUAAUAGAAAUAGAUAGGGACCAAGCGUAUACUAGUUGUUGAGUCAAGUCAAACUCUAUUUAGAAUCUAUUUUAGGAAUAGCCCCCUUAUAUAAGUAUUGAAUAGAGGCACCCUUUGUUGAACAAAUCUCUCCCCUCAUAGUCGUUUUUAUAAGUAAGAGUUGACCUCGCUCUCGCUAACCUGGUGCUAUCAAUUCUGCAAUUCUUACAGGCAAUGGUGAGGAAUAAAGGGAAGAAAGAUAAUCGUAUAAAGUAAGCAGGGACAGAAAGAGACUCGUCUCCAACAACAAGAACAAGAGCUGGGCUACCGGGGUUUACAUCGCCAAGUGUAGUUCUCUGAUCUUCAGAGCUCAAAUCAAUUCCAUUCCUGUGCCCCUAAGUGAUUGGUGUCCUGGGUAGAGCAACUGUAACUGUCUUACAUCCUCUGUGCUAAGGGAGUUGGGCCAUAGUACAUAAUUGCUAGCGCAUCUAGUAUCUAAUGAAUGGAAGGCCCUAAUACAUAAUUGGUAGCGCAUUACCCUUCCACUCUGAUAGGUCGGCAAGGGAAGAAAGAUCUGAUUGCACUCCGCCGCAACAAGGCAUCUAAGGCAACUCAAUGGAAUUUGUUUACUCGGUCUCAGGGAAGGGAAUAGAUUUACCAGACUCCACUCGGGAUUUCACUCUUACUUUAACUUGACCUGGACUACUACUUGG
RNAcentral lists this long non-coding RNA (18297 nucleotides) under Musa acuminata (dwarf banana). Its description in RNAcentral is "long non-coding RNA (MACU_LNC007997)". The record is from RNAcentral. Lineage: Eukaryota; Viridiplantae; Streptophyta; Magnoliopsida; Zingiberales; Musaceae.